This is a long non-coding RNA of Columba livia (rock pigeon), 5232 nucleotides long. RefSeq lists it as uncharacterized. The record is from RefSeq and is a predicted model, not a curated record. Lineage: Eukaryota; Metazoa; Chordata; Aves; Columbiformes; Columbidae. The transcript has 3 exons.
AGCGAGGGGCGGGCACCCUGCAGCGCGCUGCGUCUCCUGACGCGUGUGUCACGGGAGGGCGCGGGAGGGGAGGGGGAGGGCGCCGGCCUGAGGGGGCGGGGUUACCAGGAGAGGGCGGAAAGCAGCUGCCAUUUUAAGUAUGGGCAAGCCGCUCGCUUUCCUCUCGGGUAGAGAGUUUGGGCAGUGGGUUCUUUGCUUUGUUUUAUUUUAUUUUUUUUUUUUUUUCAACGUGACUUUAGCUCUUCUGUGGGUGUUUGCUCUUCGUGCUGGAGCCACCCCGACUCUUUAAUACUCUCACUUGAAGGGUCGGGGUGUCGCCGUUAUUGUUUUCCUACGGAGGGCACUGGGGCUUCUCCUGCCCGCCUUCAAGAUGGCGGCGGGAGGGCGGCUGCGCGCAGGGCCGCGGGAGGAAGGUCUGUUUCCUACGGUGCCUGGGGCGGUACCGGGGGAGCGGCGGCAGCGCCCGCGGUUAAAGGCCGCCUGGCGGGGACGUAUCUCUCCGGUGUUUGUGGCCUUUUCCUGUGCCUGAUGUUUCUGGAGGCCCAGGAUGUGGUGGGGCAAGGGUGUCGGUAGCGUUCCCUGUGAAGGAUUUGCUCCCGGGCCCGUCUGCGCAGCAGCCUCCCCAGCAAUAAAACCGGAGGACAGCGAGGUGUUGCACACCUGAGACACAGUGUGAGGUCUUUGGCUGAAGCGAGGGUGUGACACUGCCACUCUUGAGGAAAGAUAGACGGCUGUCACCAUGUGUUUCAGCGCCACAGAUCCAGUGUUGCACAACCAAGCAACUUUCUCGCUCUAAUUCAUGCUGUAGAGCAUCCUACCCACUAAAAUGAAUGGAAACUCUAAUGAAACUAAGAUGUAAGGAUGGCAAAAUCUGCCUUGCAGUAAAAAUGGAAAUACCAACUGCGCUAUUAAAAAAAAAAAGUUGGUGAUAUAAAUGAGAGAACAACUGUGAGUCCUACCAUUAUGUCAAGAGCUCUGGCUCUUAACCAUGUUGUGACGUGCUAACCUUGAGAGUGAGGAAACCAAAAAAAGCCAGAUGUCCUCAGAUUUUGGACUACUGAGAAGCCCAGCUCUUGGAAGUCCUGAAGAACCUUAAUGUAAGCAUCUCCUUUGGAACCUGGAGCCAGCUUAUUGUGAGGUAAUUCAUACGACAACAGAGACUAAUCACGAGGGCCCUGUCAUUUAAAUGCUCCAAUUAAUUUUUUUUUUUCCCUGCAAUAGCUUCUGCUCUGCUCCCACAUCCCACAAUGCAUUCCAGAGCUGCUAUGUUAAUUGGAAGUUUAUUUCUGUGCAUGAAGUGGAUUUUAAUUGGCACCUAAGGGGCACAUUCUGGUGUCCUGACUCAGGUGGCAUGGAGGCGUACCUCAGCAUCGCUCCAUGGCAGCCUGUGGGACUGCUCACGAGGAAAGGUGCUUCCUGGACCAGGCAAAGGGUGACUGGGAAGCUCUGAGCCACCCAGGUGGGACAAGAGGCUCCACUGACUCUCCAGCAUGCAAUGCCAUGGCCCGGGGCCCUGUAAAACAAUAGUUAUACUAACUCUUCCAGUUAUUUUGCUUGACUAAUGAGUAAUAUGAGUGGCUCCAGAUUUUAAGUGUGUGAGCAACGUAGGCACACUGUAAAAACUGGGAUUGCAGGCAGUCUUGUAAUAAAUUAAUGACUUUGACUAUUAUGUGAGUCAUCUGUAAAAUGGGCCCUGAGUUAUGAAGACACACACCAACGGUGGGGGGCAUUAUGAGAAAUUAAAAUUAAUGUGACAUAAUACUACUUCAAUUGCAAUAAAAGUACUGCAGCUGGAAGAGAUGGGAAAAGUGGGAGGGGCAUAACUCCACCGAUUAGCAUAAUUACAUCCAUGCAUCUGGUUUCCAAAAGCAGAGUGUGAAUCGGUUUCAGCUCAGUAUUGGCACCUCCUGCCAGCCCUGCAGCAAGACAGCCGUGAGCAGACACCCCGGCUCCUGCUCCCCACGAUGAAGCUGGGAGCUCUGACAACCAGGGUGGAAGGAAACAAAAGGCGCUGAUUAAAACAAAAAGCCUAACUGGCAGGUUCUGUGAUCAGUACAAAAUAAGUCUUCUUUUUUUUUUUUUUUUUACUUAAUGCUAUUAAUUGCCUUUCAAAGACCUUACAAAAUGCACUGCCCUGAUAAUAUAAAGUAUCCCCUCCAGCAUCACUUCUCUGGCUCUUUCCUUGUUCUAAACCCACCUGCACUUAAAAUCCUGGAGAACCAUGUGUGCAGAUAUUGCUAAAUACAACUUCCUUACUACAGAAUGAUGUGUGUCACUGUCCUUUCCAUGGACACCAUACAACAAUCCCAGCAGGAGGAACCGGGGCCAACUUACAAAUCACCUGGGCAGAGUUCCAAUUACACUAUUGCUAAGAGGCAUGUCCAGCCCACAGUCACAACUUGGGAUUAAAAUGUCAGUAAGUACUUCAUGGAAGUUGUUAUCUAUGAAUUAUUUCAUAACUCUGUAGAGUAUUUAUGAAAAUACGCUGUAAAGAGUUAUCCAGACUUGAGAAUUAUUAUCUUAAUUGUGCUUAGACUGGAAAAAUAAUUACAAUGCACGGAGGUUACUGAUCUUUUCUGAAUGAGCUCAGUGGUAUUACAGUAAAAUAUUUUAAAAUGCUUUAAAGUGAAGAGAGAGCUGAAGUUAUUUAAGCAUAAAGUUCUGCCUAAAGGUAUUCUAGGCAAAGUGUCCAUCACAAAUGUAAUACAGAAAUAUAUGAAAACUAAACGGUGAAAAAAAAUUCGUAAUUGCUCAAUAUACUUCUUUUCCUGUACUAUCAAAACAUUGUGCAGGAUUUUGACAACACCAAAGCUAUUUUAUAUUGUUAAAAGACAGUAAAAUGUUUUUAAAUAUAGCAUUAAUAGGUUUAAUGUCUCCUAUAGAACCUGAUGUAACUCAUAUAAUCUGAAAAGACUGCAGAUUGGCCAAUGAAAUGAAAGCAAAUCCUUAAAUAUUCUACAUUUUGCAAAUUAUACACUAGAUAUAUUUUCUCUAUGAAAUAACUGUCCAGUGUACAUCCUGCUAGGUAGAGAAUUGCCAUCUAUGAUAUAUUUAUGUUGGCCAAGUAACUCUUAGCAUGAGUGAAUGUAGAGUAAUUAAUUUAUUGUUCAAAACACAGGUCUCGGUAUAAACACAGUGACUGGGUAUAAAUGUUGCUUUCAGGAUCAAUACUUAUAAUCUCUCAGUGAUUGUUGUUGGACUGAUGCUGUAUUUACAAAUGGAAAAAAAAUCUUUUUCACCCCUUUUAAUGGCCAGCCUCGCAAUCUCAGCUUAAGAUGUAGAAGUCAGCUUUGAGACCUUCCCUUUUGGCACAUAGCCCCAAGCAGCUUGGAUUCAGCAGAGCCUCAAGGUCCUCACCCGUUGUCUGGGUCCCAUCUCUCCUGCUGCCUGAUGGAGCGCUGGUGCAGAUGUGAAUGGUGGGAGCCCUCUUUUGCGGCAGCACAGACCGAUGCAUCUCUCUCACUGAGAAACAAAAAAGUGCAUCUGUCCUGGCCACUCACACCAGUCAGAGCCCACUGGUGGGACCACACCUGCCCAUCAUUCACAUGAGGCAAAACUCCUUCUGUGGGCAUGUCACCACAACUCUCAUCUCCAGUUAUCCCUUUUGAUAACAUCACAAUACUAUAGUCUACAUGAAAGAAAUAUUGUUUCGCUUAAAUAGUUUUUCAAGCUGAGGCACUGCCCUUUGUUGUAUGUUUAAUAGUUGAAGAGCAGAAGAGUCCAGAUCAACUUUGCCUAAAAUGGAAAAAGCUGCUUUCACAGUUGACCACAGUAAAAUACCCAGCCUGGUCUAUACUGGAAUAGCUUACUGAUGUAGGCUUUUCACUUGUACAUUAAAGUGUUGAAUUUAUUGUUACAUAAUACUAUACACCUUGCAGAAUGGUAGUGGGAUACUUUGGAGCAGCCCUUGUUCCUCUGGCUUCCCCUCCUCUGGCUCCUGAUGUGCUUGCUUUGAUCUGGAUCUGCCUCCUGCUCACCGUUAUGCUGCCUCCACCUGCAGAAGCCGUCGCUUCGGGGACUUGGACUUAUUUCCUGCAAUCGGUGCCACUCUUACCCCACCCUUGAUACAGUUCUGUCAGUAAUACAAUACAUUACAAUACCUCUUGUCUAGGCUUGAUUAGAAAUCUCAACGUACCUACUUUGAUUUGCUGUUUCAGUGAAAUUCCUCUGUUAUCUGCUAUACAAGAUGGGCAACUUCUUCAAAAAAAUGUUCUUAACAGUUAGCAGGGUUUUGGGGGUUUGUUUUUGUUUUGUUUUGUUUUUCCCAACAUUCCCUACUCUCAUAGACUUAAUCACUGCAACAAGAAAUUCUGCUGAAUGCAUAUUUCCACAUAGAAGGCAGACAACAUGACAGAAAAAUAUGUAACACCCUUGGUGAGCACUUAAGAAAAUAAAAUGCAAUGGCAGAAAUCCUUGUGCGUGCAUUGGUGGUUUCAUUUGAGUGUGAAUGGUAGGGUCACAGAACAGCUAGAUUACUGUGGAUGUAGUAAGGCUCUAGGUAAAACAACCUGACUUUCUUAAGGGCUCUUUUCAUUAUAAAUUAAUGUCCUUUGAGUUGGAUUCAGUUUGGUUGGAAUCCCGGGGACUCUGAUGGAUCUUGAUGAUUUUGUCAUAUGUGACCUCUCUCUACCCUUUCACACCAGAUGAUGCCAGACAGAUUUCAGUGCUUUUGAUGACACUCACUUCAUUUGCGCAACUGGCAUUUAUUACUGAACCAACACUGAAUCUGUUGGUUUCCACAAACCACAACUUAUUACUGUUGCUCCCUAGUGCUUAUAAUAAGCAAAAAAUUCCCUUACUGGAGGAAACUGUUCAUUCUCCAUCUUGUGUUGGACUAAUAAACUUAUCCUAAUGUAUUCAGCUUGUUAUUUACUAGCUUUUAAAUGUGUCUGCAGAGUAUUUGUUAGAUUUUUGAACUCUUACGGCACCCAAACAAUUGAAGCAUCUUCAGUACAAACUUCUGUCACUAUGUGCAUAUGAGCUGUGCCUCAAACGUCUCUCCACAUGCAAGUGUUUUUAUGAUUGUAUAAAAUGAGUGUUUGAACUUAAAGCAAAUUUUAGUAAAUGUUUUACUUACUCUUAUUGCAAAUACUCCAUUGAAAAUUUCCCCUCCAGUGCAAAUUAAUCUACUUAUUCAUGUCUUUUCUCACUCCUCCUCUCUCUCCAUUUAUGCCUCUUUAUUCUCUUUCAUUUUAUAUCUUACAUUUAGCAUUUUUGCAUUCCAACUCCAAA